Molecule: non-coding RNA, 24 nt
Filed under: Arabidopsis thaliana (thale cress)
Lineage: Eukaryota; Viridiplantae; Streptophyta; Magnoliopsida; Brassicales; Brassicaceae
Source: RNAcentral
ACUACUGUGAAUUGCCAAGAGUGU